Molecule: ribosomal RNA, 467 nt
Filed under: uncultured Rhodocyclaceae bacterium
Lineage: Bacteria; Pseudomonadati; Pseudomonadota; Betaproteobacteria; Rhodocyclales; Rhodocyclaceae
Description: bacterial SSU rRNA
Rfam family: Bacterial small subunit ribosomal RNA
Source: RNAcentral
CCUACGGGAGGCUGCAGUGGGGAAUUUUGGACAAUGGGGGCAACCCUGAUCCAGCCAUUCCGCGUGAGUGAAGAAGGCCUUCGGGUUGUAAAGCUCUUUCGGCAGGAACGAAACGGUGGCCACUAAUACUGGCUACUAAUGACGGUACCUGAAGAAGAAGCACCGGCUAACUACGUGCCAGCAGCCGCGGUAAUACGUAGGGUGCGAGCGUUAAUCGGAAUUACUGGGCGUAAAGCGUGCGCAGGCGGUUUUGUAAGACAGAUGUGAAACCCCCGGGCUUAACCUGGGAACUGCGUUUGUGACUGCGAGACUCGAGUGCGGCAGAGGGGGGUGGAAUUCCACGUGUAGCAGUGAAAUGCGUAGAGAUGUGGAGGAACACCGAUGGCGAAGGCAGCCCCCUGGGUCGACACUGACGCUCAUGCACGAAAGCGUGGGGAGCAAACAGGAUUAGAUACCCCUGUAGUCCU